AAGACUAAGUUGUCACGUGAUAUUAGUAGGCACGGUACACCUACUUCUCGUUAACAUGUCGUUCAGAGGGUUCAAGAAGCAGAUUAACAAAGCGAACCAGUACUUUAGCGAGAAGAUCUUCAAUGCCGAGGCAACCAAGCUUGAUGAAGAGUUCAAGGAAUUAGAAACGAAAACUGACGCUACGGCUGUUGUGGUGGAGCACUUGCAGACCAAAACUAAAGAGUUUCUGCAUCCUAAUCCGGGCUUGCCGAGCCAAGGAAACAUGAGUUUCUAACGUAUAGUCUCAGAGUUUGGCAGCAGCAUAGUUUGAAACUGAUGAGCAUGAUUAUAGCCUAUGAUGAUGAUGAUG
Molecule: long non-coding RNA, 349 nt
Organism: Corticium candelabrum
Lineage: Eukaryota; Metazoa; Porifera; Homoscleromorpha; Homosclerophorida; Plakinidae
Exons: 4
Source: RefSeq, a predicted model, not a curated record